RNAcentral lists this ribosomal RNA (71 nucleotides) under Citrobacter braakii. Its description in RNAcentral is "partial 23S ribosomal RNA". The record is from RNAcentral. Lineage: Bacteria; Pseudomonadati; Pseudomonadota; Gammaproteobacteria; Enterobacterales; Enterobacteriaceae.
GUGUAAGCGUAGCGAUACGUUGAGCUAACCGAUACUAAUGAACCGUGAGGCUUAACCUUACAACGCCGAAG